CAGCAGCCGCGGUAAUACGGAGGGAGCUAGCGUUGUUCGGAAUCACUGGGCGUAAAGCGCACGUAGGCGGCUAUUCAAGUCAGGGGUGAAAGCCCGGGGCUCAACCCCGGAACUGCCUUUGAAACUAGAUAGCUUGAAUCUUGGAGAGGCGAGUGGAAUUCCGAGUGUAGAGGUGAAAUUCGUAGAUAUUCGGAAGGACACCAGUGGCGAAGGCGACUCGCUGGACAAGUAUUGACGCUGAGGUGCGAAAGCGUGGGGAGCAAAUAGGAUUAGAUACCCCCGUAGUCCCUGUCUCUUAUAC
RNAcentral lists this ribosomal RNA (301 nucleotides) under uncultured bacterium. Its description in RNAcentral is "partial 16S ribosomal RNA". It matches the Rfam family "Bacterial small subunit ribosomal RNA", at positions 509 to 807 of the family's 1533-position model. The record is from RNAcentral.